Cricetulus griseus (Chinese hamster) is the source of this 72-nucleotide non-coding RNA. The record is from Rfam. Lineage: Eukaryota; Metazoa; Chordata; Mammalia; Rodentia; Cricetidae.
GGGGGUGUAGCUCAGUGGUAGAGCUCCUGCUUUGCGCGCAUGAGGUCCCGGGUUCGAUUCCCGGCGUCUCCA